This is a long non-coding RNA of Oreochromis niloticus (Nile tilapia), 1274 nucleotides long. RefSeq lists it as uncharacterized. The transcript has 2 exons. The record is from RefSeq and is a predicted model, not a curated record. NCBI's taxonomy places the organism in Eukaryota, Metazoa, Chordata, Actinopteri, Cichliformes, Cichlidae.
UUAACUUAUAGGCAGUAAAAACCACACAGGUCAAAUGUGGCUGACACUUUUAACUGACAAAAAUGUUACUAUAAAAAUCAGUUGAAGUCAUUUAAAUUGCAAAAGAGACACUUUGAAUGUGUCUCAAUUGCCAUUGCAAUUUUGUAUGAAAUCAUAGAGGGCCUUGAAGGGGAAGAACAAUUGCCUCAGAUCUGAAAAAACACCAGAGCAAGAAAACAAAACUUCUUUUGACCUUUUGUGCCUCACUUUAGUGGUUAGCGCUCUACAGCAACAAGCGCCUCGUAGUCGGCUGGGGCCUUCAUGUGGAGCGUUUGCAUGUUCUUCCUGCAUCUGCGUGGAUUUCCUUCCAAAGUGUACGAGUGUGAGCUUGUCGUUCUCUUUUUGUUAGUCCAAUAAUUACAUCUCCCAGAUCGGGAUAAAGAAAGAAAGGCAUCUUAAAUGGACUGGUGUUUAUAUAGCGCAACAGAACAAGGAGCUAAAAGGUUUAGAGGAGCCUACGCAGGGGUUUGUGCGUGUAUGUGUUGUUGUCGUCAUUUCUCCAUCUAGACAUCAUAAUACUUAAAGCCUUCAGGGCGCUUGUGAAGUAGUCAGACUCAAACGUCAAGGAAGGUGGUAGGGAAGCAGACUAUGCAGACAUUUCAAAUUUUCAAAGGUGAGCAAUUUAUUUACAGUGAACUUAAUUUAAUGUAACUUAACAAAACUUCCCCCAAAUAAACUCUAUUAACAAAACUCAACAUAACAUGGCUCUGGUAACACAGCUCACCUCUCCUCUCCUGCAUCUGGUAGAGACUGGCUUUAAAUAGGGCCAUCAAUUUCCCUCCAAUUGCCCAGCCAGUACCACUCACUCAAACUGAGGGAUCUAAAACUCUACACAGAUGAUUUAAAAGCACAAAACCUCUUCACACUUCUAAUACGCACAUUUACACAACUAAAUGGCAGUAUUAACAAAAAGAAAAACAUUCAACAAAUUCCUUUAAACCUUAACACAAACAAAAGGAAGCGUCUCUAUGGAAAAAAAAACCCCUCCACUUGUUUGACCUGCUGAUGUCAUGUUUGACAUCAUCAGGAAUUUAAAAUGAUGAAAUGCCAGGCGGGCGUUUCCCCACACCUGACCCUCAUGAAGACUGAAAAGACAAACAAAAAUGUUUGAUUUGCCGGCAACAGAACGCUUACACAAACAAACCCGGGAUAGUGAGUGAAGCAAUGUUACUUGACAAAUAGCAAAUCAUAGCAAAUACAUAGAAACAGAAUAAUGUGUACAAUGUGCAAAAAAA